AACUAGGCAAACCUCUGAGCCCAGCAAGCAGGUGCACUGGGGACCCUUGCAUUGGGAGGGCUAGAAAAACCCUCAGUUAUGACCUGGGGGCGGCACUUUGCAGACCAGCAAUCCAAGUCCUGGGCACUGUCAAAUGGUUCAACGUCCGGAAUGGUUACGGAUUCAUCAACAGGAAUGACACCAAGGAAGAUGUCUUUGUUCACCAGGUAAGAGCUAGGUUAGCUUUCUGAGGGGAAGAACCGGCCGUCUUUGAAGGCCUUUGCUGUAAUCCUUAGCAGUGCGCUCCGCCAUGUUUCUCUGGCUCUUCUUCACAACGGCCCAUCUGCCAGGGAAUAGCUCCCCCCAUCCGCCUUGGGUGCCUGUGUCAACCACCAUUAGCCGCACUUGUGUUGGGUUACUAAACGUCCGUCAGAAUUGAGCAUGUUGCCCCUGGGCAUGGCACGCUUACUACCUACUGGGACCUGUUAACACUCCAGGAAGCACUGAGGCAAUUUUCAGAGGGAGAAGGUCCUUGGGUGCAGUGGUUCUCAAAGCGUGGCCCCUGCACCAGCGGCAGCAGCAUCACCUGACAUCCGAAUUCUCAGGUCCCACCCCAGACCUGGUGAAUCAAUCAGAGCUGGGGCUGGGGCUCCACAAUCGGUUUAACGAGCUCUCCAGGUGAUUCUGAUGCACGCUACAGCUUGAGAACCACUGCUUGGUGGAAAGAGCUCUCACUGGGACUGAGGUAAGAAGCACAGUGCAUUUUACCCACUUUGCGACUGAAGGCUGUCCCUGCCUUUUGCUUUGGAGUUCAUAUUUCUUGCCUCCCUUUUUGAAAUCCCUGAGGGGUAAAGCGGGGCGGGAGGGGAGGUGUGGGGAGUGCAUCCUGGGGAUGGUGGUAACUGCACAAUCUUUGCUGAGGCCCUGAGUUCAGGACUUUUCCCCUGCUAAACUUUGACCACCUCCUUGCUCCACCCUCCAGCUCUAGACCCCAAGUCAAAUGUUGAAAGAAUGAAAUUGGGUGGUGGCCCCGCAGGGGUGACAGAGACUCCUGUCUUGCUGUCUCACUUUUCACAUGGCCUUUUCCCCAAUCAGACAGCUAUUAAAAGAAACAACCCCAGGAAGUUUCUGCGCAGCGUUGGAGAUGGGGAGACUGUGGAAUUUGAUGUCGUGGAAGGAGAGAAGGGUGCAGAAGCCACUAAUGUAACUGGGCCCGGGGGAGUACCCGUGAAGGGCAGCCGUUAUGCCCCCAACCGACGUAAGUCCCGCCGAUUCAUCCCCCGGCCUCCCUCAGUUGCCCCACCACCCAUGGUGGCAGAGAUCCCCUCGGCGGGGACAGGACCUGGCAGUAAAGGGGAGCGGGCUGAAGACUCUGGGCAACGGCCCAGACGAUGGUGCCCCCCACCCUUCUUCUACCGACGGCGGUUUGUGCGAGGCCCCCGGCCUCCCAACCAGCAGCAGCCUAUAGAGGGCACUGACAGGGUAGAACCCAAAGAGACAGCCCCAUUGGAGGGGCACCAACAGCAGGGAGAUGAGCGGGUCCCCCCGCCCAGAUUCCGGCCCAGGUACCGAAGGCCUUUCCGCCCCAGGCCACGCCAGCAGCCUACCACAGAAGGUGGGGAUGGUGAGACCAAGCCCAGCCAAGGUCCCGCUGAUGGUUCCCGGCCUGAGCCCCAGCGCCCACGAAACCGCCCCUACUUCCAGCGGAGACGGCAGCAGGCCCCUGGCCCCCAGCAGGCCCCUGGCCCCCGGCAGCCCGCAGCCCCUGAGACCUCAGCCCCUGUCAACAGUGGGGACCCCACCACCACCAUCCUGGAGUGAUUCCAACUCAAAGGACACCCAGAGCUGCCAUCUGGUAUCUGCCAGUUUUUCCAAAUGACCUGUACCCUACCCAGUACCCUGCUCCCCCUUUCCCAUAAUUCAUGACAUCAAAACACCAGCUUUUCACCUUUUCCUUGAGACUCAGGAGGACCAAAGCAGCAGCCUUUUGCUUUUUCUUUUUUCUUCCCUCCCCUUAUCAAGGGUUGAAGGAAGGGAGCCAUCCUUACUGUUCAGAGACAGCAACUCCCUCCCGUAACUCAGGCUGAGAAGGAACCAGCCAGCUCUUACCUCCUCCUGGUUGCUUUUCUUCCCCCCACCCCAAGUUUAUUUUUGUUUUCCCCCGGCCCCCUACCUCUGAAGCCAUUUUAUGAUCUGUCAUGUGCCACCUGAGCCUCCAGUAAAAACAAAAACAGGC
This 2215-nucleotide small RNA is filed under the name Pan troglodytes (chimpanzee). Its description in RNAcentral is "retained intron". The record is from RNAcentral. Lineage: Eukaryota; Metazoa; Chordata; Mammalia; Primates; Hominidae.